CCAGCUCUACAGAGUGGCGCUCUGAUUCUCUCUCUCACCAACAAGUAACAAGGACGCGGAGUUUCCGGGGUCAACUGCUACAGAGGUGGGGACUGGGACUUGAACCUGGGUCUUUGCACAUCGUAACAUGAGUGCUCAACCUGGAGCAUCAGCACCGGUCCUCCCCAAUAAAAUGAUCUGAAAAAAAAAAUGACGUGGAAGUUUCAGACCAGGCCAACUGACCAACUGUAACACUACUACAAAAACACAUACCUUUGACAGACAAAUGAUAAGCAAAACCAUUUCUUCAGAUGAAAACUGGUGAUUUAAAAAUCUGAAGCCUAAGCAUAUUGUUCAAAUAUUUACAAGGAUGACAUUUCUUCCAAGAUACUGAGAGAAAAAGUUCUGAAGUCAAGCGAUUGGGCAUGUUCUCAAUUCCUUUAAGUGCCCAAAAUUAAAUCCUUUCUGAAUGA
Molecule: long non-coding RNA, 452 nt
Organism: Erinaceus europaeus (western European hedgehog)
Lineage: Eukaryota; Metazoa; Chordata; Mammalia; Eulipotyphla; Erinaceidae
Exons: 2
Source: RefSeq, a predicted model, not a curated record